CCCUUAGAUGUUCUGGGCUGCACGCGCGCUACACUGAAGCUAUCAACACGUUUUCCCUCCCUGAGAAGGGCGGGUAACCUUUUGAAUCAGCUUCGUGGUAGGGAUCGGGGCUUGCAAUUGUUCCCCGUGAACCAGGAAUUCCUAGUAGACGCGAGUCAUAAGCUCGCAUCGAUUAAGUCCCUGCCCUUUGUACACACCGCCCGUCGCACCUACCGAUUGGAUGGUCCGGUGAAGCCUCGGGAUUGUGGUUCUUGCCGCUUUAUUGUGGCGUGACCGCGAGAACUUGUCUAAACCUUAUCAUCUAGAGGAAGGUGAAGUCGUAACA
This 325-nucleotide ribosomal RNA is filed under the name uncultured eukaryote. RNAcentral describes it as "partial 18S ribosomal RNA". It matches the Rfam family "Eukaryotic small subunit ribosomal RNA", at positions 1470 to 1796 of the family's 1831-position model. The record is from RNAcentral.